This is an RNA transcript of Lolium rigidum, 2795 nucleotides long. RefSeq lists it as uncharacterized. The transcript has 6 exons. NCBI's taxonomy places the organism in Eukaryota, Viridiplantae, Streptophyta, Magnoliopsida, Poales, Poaceae. The record is from RefSeq and is a predicted model, not a curated record.
CUUCGUCAUCGUCGGAAGGUCGCGAGGAGGCGAGGCCUGGAGGAAGCGCUCGAGCGGCGGCCGUCCGGGCUCCGCCCUCCACCCUAUUUUUUGGGGGCAGAAGGAGGGCUUCCAUGGUGCAGGUCUGAGAUCCCCCUUCUCUCUCUGCCUCUGGCUGAACAUUGACGUUUUCUUCCUUUUUUCCCCCAGUUGCAUCCAGAUGUUGGCUGAUUCGUUGCUGCUAGUGAGAGAGAUGGGAAGUGGAAGAACAAAAAGAUUCGUGAAAGCGUCCGCCGGUCCUGCUGGUGGCGUAGAAGAGAAAGGGACGGGCCGUUGCCACCACGGAGACGGACGUGCAGAGGUUGAUGUGCAGCCAUGCCACCUCGUCGGCACAUUCAUCCUCACUAGCCCAGGCCAAAUAAGGUGCUCAUGGCUUCUCCUAAUCCUCUUCCCCCUUAUGCUAACAUUUUUCUCUCCCCGUACAAUCCUUAGUGUUUGAGUCAGCCUCCAUGCCUGCCGCCGUUCAUUCUUUGCCCCUCCACCAGGACCCAUCUUUGUCACGUAUGGGGUUUAACCCCUCUCAUCUUUGUAUGUGCAGCUGCUAUUUAUUUUGUGCCUGCAAGGUGUUUGAUGAAAAGCUAGUGGAACGAUUAAUCCAUGUAAUAUUCAUUCUACUCUGCUAUUUAUUUUAUGCCUGCCAGGUGUUUGAUGAAAAGCUAGUGGAACAAUUAAUCCAUGUAAUAUUCAUUCUACUGAAUAGAUUUUCUUUUCCUGAAAUUUAGCAACAAUGGCUUGCAUGGUCCGCUAUAUCACAUCUCCCUUCUAUGACUUGCCUGUAAUAUAUUGCCUCUCAGUUUUGUCAAUUGGUUGUGCAGGUUAUUAUUGCUAAAUAGAUGAGUGACUCAUUGGAAAAUAUAUUCGUGUUGUAUUAUUUGAAACUCAAGCAUCAGAUAAUAAUUCUUAGAUUUAGAUAUCUUGCUACAGUCAAUUUUGUACAGAUUCAACCUUUGUAUACAAAUAGCUGAGGUACAGACUCUAACGUUCUCUCAUUAGUUCAUAUAUGACGCUAGGGGUUAAUUUUGGCUAUGAAUUUUUUGUGCUUUUGAUGUGUGCAGAUUGCAGUCUUGACAAGCUAGCCGGCUAUGCGAACAAAGCCAAAGCAAAACAAAAACUAAGGAAACCUUGUGAUUUCAGGUUUUAGCUAGAAGUAUGGUGUGCUAACAAUGCUUGUUGUGCACAGUCCUUAUGCAAACAGAUAUGCAUAGAUCCGAGAUUCAGGGGAUCUAGGUUCUCACUGGUCGAUAGGGGUUUUAUAUAUGUGAUCAUAUCCGUGGAGAUGGUGAAAUGGGUUGGCAGUGUUAUGAAGCUGGGAAGCUGUUGAAGAAGACCAACACUUUCACUGACUUAGUUGCUUGUGCUGAGCAGUAAAGAAACGUUUUGUAUCAGCGGGAGAAGUGCAGGUGGCAUGUUGAUGGGUGUUGUUCUAAAUAUGAGGCCUGACUUAUUCAAGGCAAUUGUUGCUGAGGUGGCUUUAGUUGAUGUUCUCGCAACUAUGCUUGAUCCAGCUAUCCUGUUGACUGCAGCUGAAUGGGAGAGUGAGCAACUCUUGUGGAGUGAGAGGAAAUGACAAGCCGUUUGUGCAAAAUAGGAGUUAAUCGAAGAGCUGGAGUCUAGAGGGGAUAAAAGUUCAGAUUUUGCGACAGUAUUUCAGAGAAGCUGGUGUCGGUUAUCUUAGAUAGUCCCAACAAGGUUUCUCUAAAAGGAUAUUCACAAGAAGAGUGGACCAUAGAUGAGAGUGAUGAACCAUAGAUGGUGGAAAUACUUAAACAUAGAUGGAGAUAAUGCUGAACUAAAAGCGCCUAUGGGUUUGUUGGACAAUCGUCAUCGGCCAUCGUGGAGGGCUGGAGGAGGGAGGUGGAGCAGGAACGUUGGUCACACUCCAUCCUACACACCGAGCCCCCCUCCUGGUUGUUUCCUCAAGCACUCUUGUUUCAUACUUAUUUUGAUUGCUAGCGCCUACGGGUUUGUUGGAAAAUCAUCAUCGGCCAUGGCGGAGGGCUGGAGGAGGGAGGUGGAGCAGGAACGUCGGUCGCACUCCAUCCUACACGCCGAGGCCCCCUCCUGGUUGCAUCCUCAAGUGCUCUGGUUUCUUAGAGUCAAGCACUGUGAUUUUUAAUUGCUAAUUGAUUGUUUUCCUGAACACAUGUGGGCAGGUAUCGGAAAAAGAGGCCAGGUCAUGCCAGGAAACAGCGAGCAGGGCGUUCAAUGAAGUUGUCGGGACAUGCUACCGGAGUGGUGUUCUUGACCUCAUGUGCAGCUUGGGAAAAGAUGUCCGCUUUGUUGUACUGCAAGCUGCUGAUGGCAGGGAUCAUUGAGAAGGUUUAGAGUAUCCUUGAUGCUCUAUUCGGGUAGGGGAAGACCAAAAAGGUAAUCUGUUCUCCCUCAUGAUUCUGUGGAUUUACUGGUUUACUGAACUGAAGCUUGCUUUCCAUAUACUUUUGUACUCAUCUCCGUUUCAAGAGUAUGCCUGAUGUGUCGAGCUCUAAAAUUGCACUGUUGCCUACCAAUGGAAGAUUGUGUGUGCUCGAAACUUGCUCCGUGCAAUUUGUAGGGCUGCAUAAAAUCUGUCUUAAGAUUUCUGCUGUACUCGCAGCCAGGCCCGUUGCCAGCACUCAGCAAGGGUGUAUUGUAGGUUCGUACUCAAGGUUUGGGUGACUCGAUUCUGCAGUAUGUAGUUGUAAAAGUGGUCCGGCUCUUUCGUGUUUAUCAAAUUGACAGGUUUUAAGGCACAUAUGACUAAGAAAAUCCACCUAGGU